UACGUAGGGGGCAAGCGUUGUCCGGAUUCAUUGGGCGUAGAGAGCGUGUAGGCGGCCAGGUAGGUCGGUUGUGAAAACUGGAGGCUCAACCUUCAGAGGUCGACCGAAACCAUCUGGCUAGAGUCCGGGAGAGGAGAGUGGAAUUCCUGGUGUAGCGGUGAAAUGCGCAGAUAUCAGGAAGAACACCCGUGGCGAAAGCGGCUCUCUGGAACGGUACUGACGCUGAGACGCGAAAGCGUGGGGAGCGAACAGG
RNAcentral lists this ribosomal RNA (253 nucleotides) under uncultured bacterium. Its description in RNAcentral is "partial 16S ribosomal RNA". It matches the Rfam family "Bacterial small subunit ribosomal RNA", at positions 524 to 776 of the family's 1533-position model. The record is from RNAcentral.